GAGUUUGAUCAUGGCUCAGGAUGAACGCUGGCGGCGUGCCUAAUACAUGCAAGUCGAGCGAACGGACGAGAAGCUUGCUUCUCUGAUGUUAGCGGCGGACGGGUGAGUAACACGUGGAUAACCUACCUAUAAGACUGGGAUAACUUCGGGAAGCCGGAGCUAAUACCGGAUAAUAUUUUGAACCGCAUGGUUCAAAAGUGAAAGACGGUCUUGCUGUCACUUAUAGAUGGAUCCGCGCUGCAUUAGCUAGUUGGUAAGGUAACGGCUUACCAAGGCAACGAUGCAUAGCCGACCUGAGAGGGUGAUCGGCCACACUGGAACUGAGACACGGUCCAGACUCCUACGGGAGGCAGCAGUAGGGAAUCUUCCGCAAUGGGCGAAAGCCUGACGGAGCAACGCCGCGUGAGUGAUGAAGGUCUUCGGAUCGUAAAACUCUGUUAUUAGGUAGAACAUAUGUGUAAGUAACUAGUGCACAUCUUGACGGUACCUAAUCAGAAAGCCACGGCUAA
RNAcentral lists this ribosomal RNA (509 nucleotides) under uncultured microorganism. RNAcentral's name for it is "bacterial SSU rRNA". It matches the Rfam family "Bacterial small subunit ribosomal RNA", at positions 9 to 500 of the family's 1533-position model. The record is from RNAcentral.